RNAcentral lists this ribosomal RNA (246 nucleotides) under uncultured bacterium. Its description in RNAcentral is "partial 16S ribosomal RNA". It matches the Rfam family "Bacterial small subunit ribosomal RNA", at positions 333 to 571 of the family's 1533-position model. The record is from RNAcentral.
UUAGCCCUACGGGGCGCAGCAGUAGGGAAUCUUCCACAAUGGACGAAAGUCUGAUGGAGCAACGCCGCGUGAGUGAAGAAGGGUUUCGGCUCGUAAAACUCUUUUGGUAGUGAAGAAAGAUAGAGGUAGUAACUGGCCUUUAUUUGACGGUAAUUACUUAGAAAGUCACGGCUAACUACUUGCCAGCAGCCGCGGUAAUACGUAGGUGGCAAGCGUUGACCGGAUUUAUUGGGCGUAAAGCGAGUG